CAGCAGCCGCGGUAAUACGAAGGGGGCUAGCGUUGCUCGGAAUUACUGGGCGUAAGGGGAGCGUAGGCGGACAUUUAAGUCAGGGGUGAAAUCCCAGAGCUCAACUCUGGAACUGCCUUUGAUACUGGGUGUCUUGAGUGUGAUAGAGGUAUGUGGAACUCCGAGUGUAGAGGUGAAAUUCGUAGAUAUUCGGAAGAACACCAGUGGCGAAGGCGACAUACUGGAUCAUUACUGACGCUGAGGCUCGAAAGCGUGGGGAGCAAACAGGAUUAGAUACCCCUGUAGUCCCUGUCUCUUAUAC
RNAcentral lists this ribosomal RNA (301 nucleotides) under uncultured bacterium. RNAcentral's name for it is "partial 16S ribosomal RNA". It matches the Rfam family "Bacterial small subunit ribosomal RNA", at positions 509 to 807 of the family's 1533-position model. The record is from RNAcentral.